CAGCAGCCGCGGUAAUACAGAGGUGGCGAACGUUGUUCGGAUUUACUGGGCGUAAAGGGUCCGCAGGCGGUUCGGUGUGUCGGAUGUGAAAGCUCACAGCUCAACUGUGGAAUUGCAUUCGAAACUGCCGAACUAGAGUACUGGAGGGGUGAAGGGAACACUUGGUGUAGCGGUGAAAUGCGUAGAUAUCAAGUGGAACACCGGAGGCGAAGGCGCUUCACUGGACAGAUACUGACGCUCAUGGACGAAAGCUAGGGUAGCGAAAGGGAUUAGAUACCCCUGUAGUCCUAGCCGUAAACGGUGUGCACUAGACGUGGGUGGAUUUACCCCCAUCCGUGUCUGAGCUAACGCAUUAAGUGCACCGCCUGGGGAGUACGGUCGCAAGAUUAAAACUCAAAGGAAUUGACGGGGACCCGCACAAGCGGUGGAGCAUGUGGCUUAAUUCGAUGCAACGCGAAGAACCUUACCUGGACUUGACAUAUAGCUGCAUACGACCCGAAAGGGACGUAGCCUUCGAGGGUGCUAUACAGGUGCCGCAUGGCUGUCGUCAGCUCGUGCCGUGAGGUGUUGGGUUAAGUCCCGCAACGAGCGCAAUCCCUGUGUUUAGGUGCCAGCACGUAAUGGUGGGAACUCUAAACAGACUGCUUGUGAAAACAAGAGGAAGGUGGGGAUGACGUCAAGUCAGUAUGGUCCUUAUGUCCAGGGCUGCACACGUGCUACAAUGGGCGCUACAAUGGGAAGCCAAACCGCGAGGUGGAGCAAAUCCUCAAAAGCGCCCCCAGUUCGGAUCGUAGUCUGAAACUCGACUGCGUGAAGUUGGAAUCGCUAGUAAAGGCGUAUCAGCUACGACGCCUUGAAUACGUUCCCGGGUCUUGUACACACCGCCCGUCACAUCACGGAAGUCUGUUGCACCCGAAGUCGCUGAUCCAACCUGUCACAAGGAGGAAGGCGCCUAAGGUGUGAUCGAUAACUGGGAUGAAGUCGUAACAAGGUAGCCGUA
This 1000-nucleotide ribosomal RNA is filed under the name uncultured bacterium. RNAcentral's name for it is "bacterial SSU rRNA". It matches the Rfam family "Bacterial small subunit ribosomal RNA", at positions 509 to 1504 of the family's 1533-position model. The record is from RNAcentral.